GACGAACGCUGGCGGCGUGCUUAACACAUGCAAGUCGAACGGAAAGGCCCUGCUUUUGUGGGUUGCUCGAGUGCCGAACGGGUGUGUAACACGUGAGUAACCUGCCCUUGACUUUGGGAUAACUUCAGGAAACUGGGGCUAAUACCGGAUAGGAGCUCCUGCUGCAUGGUGGGGGUUGGAAAGUUUCGGCGGUUGGGGAUGGACUCGCGGCUUAUCAGCUUGUUGGUGGGGUAGUGGCUUACCAAGGCUUUGACGGGUAGCCGGCCUGAGAGGGUGACCGGCCACAUUGGGACUGAGAUACGGCCCAGACUCCUACGGGAGGCAGCAGUGGGGAAUAUUGCACAAUGGGCGGAAGCCUGAUGCAGCAACGCCGCGUGCGGGAUGACGGCCUUCGGGUUGUAAACCGCUUUCGCCUGUGACGAAGCGUGAGUGACGGUAAUGGGUAAAGAAGCACCGGCUAACUACGUG
This 468-nucleotide ribosomal RNA is filed under the name uncultured bacterium. RNAcentral's name for it is "partial 16S ribosomal RNA". It matches the Rfam family "Bacterial small subunit ribosomal RNA", at positions 28 to 507 of the family's 1533-position model. The record is from RNAcentral.